RNAcentral lists this long non-coding RNA (389 nucleotides) under Lupinus angustifolius (narrow-leaved blue lupine). RNAcentral describes it as "long non-coding RNA (LANG_LNC000695)". The record is from RNAcentral. Lineage: Eukaryota; Viridiplantae; Streptophyta; Magnoliopsida; Fabales; Fabaceae.
UCCGAUCUUAAAAUUUUUAAGCCUUGGAUACAAUUCCCAAUAAAGCCAUCCUAACAUCAAUUAAACUUUUAUACAAACCCUUUACUCUUUCCUCAAUAAUCACAAACCUAUCCUCCAAUUCCAUGCAACUUCUCUUUAAUCUCUCAACACUAGAUUUCACAUCCUUUUCCUUUUUACCCUUCAAAUGCUCCUUCAUUUCCCUUGCUGCAUUCACUGUCUUCUGCAACUCAUCAAUCAACAAAGAGGUCCUAGUUCUCCUUUUCAGCACCUUUUUCUCAGCACUUCCUUUUGCUAAUUGCUUUACCAACUCCUCCAACAAUCUCAACCAUGUAAAAGUUGUAGCAUGAGACUUCUUCAUUGAGGGUAAUCUACUUUUUGCAUCAAAUGAU